This is a long non-coding RNA of Mustela erminea (ermine), 1230 nucleotides long. RefSeq lists it as uncharacterized. The transcript has 4 exons. The record is from RefSeq and is a predicted model, not a curated record. Lineage: Eukaryota; Metazoa; Chordata; Mammalia; Carnivora; Mustelidae.
UCUGAACCCUUUCCUCCCCAGAGUGGCCUCCUUUAUACGGGGUGUUUUCUAAAGAGGGGAAGACCUCGGAAUGGUCUGGGGUAUCAUUUUCCACCUCUCUUGCAUGACCCACUCCGUAAGAUUUCUCAUGUAGUUGGUGAUCCCCAUUUCCCUCCCAGGACAGGACAGGAAGACAUGGUUUCUUCAGUGCACAGGAGCUGAGGCUGCUGCCUUUUCAAAGCCUGCAAUGAAGAGUUGAGUCCUUCAUCCAUCACACCAUUCUGACCUCUUCUGCCUUUUCUUCCACUUUUCUGGACCCUUGUGCUUACAUUGGGCCCACCUGGACAAUCCAACAUCAUCUCCCUAUUUUAAGCUCUGCUACUUAAAGUUCCUAGAUGCAAACAACAGAAGCUCUUCCAGCUAAUUUAGCAGAAAAGAAAUUUAUUAGAGCAUAUUGGGAAGCUCACAGAAUCUCCAAGAAGGCGCAAGCUCUCUCCCCUACUGGAGCACAGGUUGCAUGUUUAGCUCUGGAUCCUGAUGUCUGGCCCAGGGUCUGACAUAAUGUUUGAGACUAUUUGUUGAACAACAAAGAAGAAACAAAUACAGAUUCCUCUGUAUUUUAAGAAGUUUUUCAAAUCAAAAGCAAAAAGAAGACACCAACAGUCAACUGGGACCAGUGAUCUUUCUUCCUCUAGACGGGGAUUUGUUACAUAACUAAAUAAUUUGCAUGUGAACUCUCUUUCUUCUGGCCUGUUCUGUUUUUGCCCUUGUUGUAACAAUCAUGUGUCUCUCUUGUCUUGAACAUACACAUUUAUAGCAGAUUUUAAUUCAUAAGUUAAAGAGAAUUUUCUGACUGAUUACAUUUGGCACUGGUUCCUUCUUGACGAAUACAGAACACGUUCAGGACAAAAAGGGAGCUUUCUCCACGACUGGCUACAGGAAAAGCAACUUCUGGAAGGAUCUUCGACAGAAAGUAAUGAACAAAGGACUCUGCAUCUUCUACAGAAGUCUUGUCCAUAAGUUUGGGGACUCACUCCACAUUUGGUCCAGGAUCUACUGCUGUCCUGACUUGCUCAUGCCCCCAAAUGUCUCAGGGUCACUGACCCACUGAAGACUUCAUCAUGGUCCUUCCCUUAUGUGCCAAGGGCAGGAGCCACAGUGCCUGGAGCCCACCAUAUUUUUAGUGGUCCACAAAAAAGGUUUCAACUUUUUUUAAAAUCGAAAGGACAUGGGGCACCUGGGAGGCUCAGU